GCUGGGCAUGGUGGCGCAUGCCUGUAAUCCCAGCUACUCGGGAGGCUGAGGCAGGAGAAUCACUUGAACCCGGGAGGCAGAGGUUACAGUGAACCAAAAUCAUGCCAAUGCACUUCAGCCUGGGUGACAAAGGGAGACUCUGUCUCAA
This 148-nucleotide non-coding RNA is filed under the name Gorilla gorilla gorilla (western lowland gorilla). Lineage: Eukaryota; Metazoa; Chordata; Mammalia; Primates; Hominidae. The record is from Rfam by way of RNAcentral.